RNAcentral lists this long non-coding RNA (306 nucleotides) under Sorghum bicolor (sorghum). RNAcentral's name for it is "long non-coding RNA (SBIC_LNC008210)". The record is from RNAcentral. Lineage: Eukaryota; Viridiplantae; Streptophyta; Magnoliopsida; Poales; Poaceae.
AAAGGUUAUAUGAUUAAGACCAAUGUGAAAAUAUCGAGAAAAAACAUGGUCUUGUAGGGCUAGGUUUAAACAAGAAUUUAUAGAAAGAUUAACAGAAUCCCUAGGUGUAGCUAAAAGUUCAUUAUCUUCUUGAUUAAAAGAUAGGACCUCAGCUAUAGAAAAGGGUUGGUUUUGACCUAUUGCAAUCAACUCCAGACACAAAUCAUAAUUAGGGGCAAAGAAAGGACUUGUUGACUCCCAUGGUCUAUGGCUGGUCUCCGAAGGUGCAAAAAUUCAAUAAUAGGUGUGGAAUUUGAGUUGUCCACA